RNAcentral lists this ribosomal RNA (497 nucleotides) under uncultured bacterium. RNAcentral describes it as "partial 16S ribosomal RNA". It matches the Rfam family "Bacterial small subunit ribosomal RNA", at positions 28 to 507 of the family's 1533-position model. The record is from RNAcentral.
GAUGAACGCUGGCGGCGUGCCUAAUACAUGCAAGUCGAGCGAACGGACGAGAAGCUUGCUUCUCUGAUGUUAGCGGAGGACGGGUGAGUAACACGUGGAUAACCUACCUAUCAGACUGGGAUAACUUCGGGAAACCGGAGCUAAUACCGGAGAAUCUUUUGAACCGCAUGGUUCAAAGGUGAAAGACGGUCUUGCUGUCACUUAUAGAUGGAUCCGCGCUGCAUUAGCUAGUUGGUAAGGUAACGGCUUACCAAGGCAACGAUGCAUAGCCGACCUGAGAGGGUGAUAGGCCACACUAGAGCUGGGACGCGGACAUGGGGCCUAAGGGAGGCAGCAGUAGGGAAUGGUACGCAAUGGGCGAGAGCAUGACGGAGCAAGGCCGCGUGAGUGAUGGAGGUCUUCGGAUCGUAAAACUCUGUUAUGAGGGAAGAACAUAUGUGGAAGGAACUGUACACAGCUUGACGGUACCGAAUCAGAAAGCAACGGCUAACUACGUG